ACUCAAAGGAGACUGCCGGUGAUAAACCGGAGGAAGGUGGGGAUGACGUCAAGUCAUCAUGGCCCUUACGAGUAGGGCUACACACGUGCUACAAUGGCGCAUACAAAGAGAAGCGACCUCGCGAGAGCAAGCGGACCUCACAAAGUGCGUCGUAGUCCGGAUCGGAGUCUGCAACUCGACUCCGUGAAGUCGGAAUCGCUAGUAAUCGUGGAUCAGAAUGCCACGGUGAAUACGUUCCCGGGCCUUGUACACACCGCCCGUCACACCAUGGGAGUGGGUUGCAAAAGAAGUAGGUAGCUUAACCUUCGGGAGGGCGCUUACCACUUUGUGAUUCAUGACUGGGGUGAAGUCGUAACAAGGUAACCGUAGGGGAACCUGCGGUUGGAUCACCUCCUUACCUGAA
RNAcentral lists this ribosomal RNA (403 nucleotides) under Pantoea sp. ARC270. Its description in RNAcentral is "bacterial SSU rRNA". It matches the Rfam family "Bacterial small subunit ribosomal RNA", at positions 1137 to 1533 of the family's 1533-position model. Lineage: Bacteria; Pseudomonadati; Pseudomonadota; Gammaproteobacteria; Enterobacterales; Erwiniaceae. The record is from RNAcentral.